Molecule: long non-coding RNA, 431 nt
Filed under: Actinidia chinensis (golden kiwifruit)
Lineage: Eukaryota; Viridiplantae; Streptophyta; Magnoliopsida; Ericales; Actinidiaceae
Description: long non-coding RNA (ACHI_LNC004219)
Source: RNAcentral
CUUGAGGACAGAUCCAACUUAAUUGCUCAAGGCUUGUCAAUUCCAAUUGAUAUAACCUUCCACGUUAUACUCUUGAUUGAUAUAUUAUCGAGAUAUUGAUUUUGCUUUGAAUGGCUGCCCAUCUAAACAGUCAUAUAAUGUGCAUAUACUGAAAACUUGUGGUUUAGCUCCUGGACAUUAGGUACAGAGUGCAUAGUGAAGAAUCCAAAAGUUGAAUUGUGUACGAUAAGGCUGGGUUGUAUAUAAAUGGAUCUGGAUUGUUUAGUUCUUUGUGAUACAAAAUAUAAUAGCAAUUCAUAUUCCUCCCAUCCUCUCUAGAUGGAAUACAUGUUUGUCUCAAUAAUUAGCAAUUUAUGCAUGUGCAAUUUGAUUUCGAAGCUCUUUUGCUGCUCUGAUAGACAAUUGUGCUUCUUGUCUCUAUUGAAUCUUGC